GAGGUAUUAGUAAAACUUACAUGACCUUGUCAAGGUCAAAUUAUAGGUGAAAACCCUGUAUACCUCU
Molecule: non-coding RNA, 67 nt
Organism: Vicugna pacos (alpaca)
Lineage: Eukaryota; Metazoa; Chordata; Mammalia; Artiodactyla; Camelidae
Source: Ensembl